This 497-nucleotide ribosomal RNA is filed under the name uncultured bacterium. Its description in RNAcentral is "partial 16S ribosomal RNA". It matches the Rfam family "Bacterial small subunit ribosomal RNA", at positions 28 to 507 of the family's 1533-position model. The record is from RNAcentral.
GACGAACGCUGGCGGCGUGCCUAAUACAUGCAAGUUGAGCGCUGAAGGUUGGUACUUGUACCAACUGGAUGAGCAGCGAACGGGUGAGUAACGCGUGGGGAAUCUGCCUUUGAGCGGGGGACAACAUUUGGAAACGAAUGCUAAUACCGCAUAAAAACUUUAAACACAAGUUUUAAGUUUGAAAGAUGCAAUUGCAUCACUCAAAGAUGAUCCCGCGUUGUAUUAGCUAGUUGGUGAGGUAAAGGCUCACCAAGGCGAUGAUACAUAGCCGACCUGAGAGGGUGGUCGGCCACAUUGGGACUGAGACACGGCCCAAACUCCUACGGGAGGCAGCAGUAGGGAAUCUUCGGCAAUGGAGGAAAGUCUGACCGAGCAACGCCGCGUGAGUGAAGAAGGUUUUCGGAUCGUAAAACUCUGUUGGUAGGGAAGAACGUUGGUGAGAGUGGAAAGCUCAUCAAGUGACGGUAACUACCCAGAAAGGGACGGCUAACUACGUG